GAGUUUGAUCCUGGCUCAGAACGAACGCUGGCGGCGUGCUUAACACAUGCAAGUCGAACGUGAUCCGGAGCUUGCUCCGGUGAAAGUGGCGCACGGGUGAGUAACGCGUGGAUAAUCUGCCCUGGUAUCUGGGAUAACAUCUCGAAAGGGGUGCUAAUACCGGAUAAGCCUACGGGAUCCUCGGAUUCUGCAGGAAAAGGUGGCCUCUAUUUAUAAGCUACCGUAUCAGGAUGAGUCCGCGUACCAUUAGCUAGUUGGUGGGGUAAUGGCCCACCAAGGCUACGAUGGUUAGCUGGUCUGAGAGGAUGAUCAGCCACACUGGAACUGAGACACGGUCCAGACUCCUACGGGAGGCAGCAGUGGGGAAUUUUGCGCAAUGGGGGAAACCCUGACGCAGCAACGCCGCGUGAGUGAUGAAGGCUUUCGGGUCGUAAAGCUCUGUCAGAGGGGAAGAAAUGAAACGUGCUAAUAUCACGUUUUCUUGACGGUACCCUCAAAGGAAGCACCGGCUAACUCCGUGCCAGCAGCCGCGGUAAUACAAGGGCGMMYYS
RNAcentral lists this ribosomal RNA (551 nucleotides) under uncultured Geobacteraceae bacterium. Its description in RNAcentral is "bacterial SSU rRNA". It matches the Rfam family "Bacterial small subunit ribosomal RNA", at positions 9 to 537 of the family's 1533-position model. Lineage: Bacteria; Pseudomonadati; Thermodesulfobacteriota; Desulfuromonadia; Geobacterales; Geobacteraceae. The record is from RNAcentral.